RNAcentral lists this ribosomal RNA (253 nucleotides) under uncultured microorganism. RNAcentral's name for it is "partial 16S ribosomal RNA". It matches the Rfam family "Bacterial small subunit ribosomal RNA", at positions 524 to 776 of the family's 1533-position model. The record is from RNAcentral.
UACGGAGGGGGCAAGCGUUGUUCGGAGUUACUGGGCGUAAAGCGCACGUAGGCGGUCUUGCCAGUCAGGGGUGAAAGCCCGGGGCUCAACCCCGGAACUGCCUCUGAUACUGCAAGACUAGAGACUAGGAGAGGGUGGUGGAAUUCCCAGUGUAGAGGUGAAAUUCGUAGAUAUUGGGAGGAACACCAGAGGCGAAGGCGGCCACCUGGACUAGAUCUGACGCUCAGGUGCGAAAGCGUGGGGAGCAAACAGG